GACAGAGGGGGCAAGCGUUGCUCGGAAUCACUGGGCGUAAAGGGCGCGUAGGCGGGAUGGCAAGUCGGUCGUGAAAUCCUUCGGCUCAACCGAAGAACGUCGGCCGAUACUGCUGUUCUUGAGGGAUGCAGAGGAGAUUGGAAUUCCCGGUGUAGCGGUGAAAUGUGUAGAGAUCGGGAGGAACACCAGUGGCGAAGGCGACUUCCUGGCCUGUUCUUGACGCUGAGGCGCGAAAGCUAGGGUAGCAAACGGG
Molecule: ribosomal RNA, 253 nt
Filed under: uncultured bacterium
Lineage: Bacteria
Description: partial 16S ribosomal RNA
Rfam family: Bacterial small subunit ribosomal RNA
Source: RNAcentral